AUUGAACGCUGGCGGCAGGCCUAACACAUGCAAGUCGAACGGUAACAGGAAGCAGCUUGCUGCUUCGCUGACGAGUGGCGGACGGGUGAGUAAUGUCUGGGAAACUGCCUGAUGGAGGGGGAUAACUACUGGAAACGGUAGCUAAUACCGCAUAACGUCGCAAGACCAAAGAGGGGGACCUUAUGGCCUCUUGCCAUCGGAUGUGCCCAGAUGGGAUUAGCUAGUAGGUGGGGUAACGGCUCACCUAGGCGACGAUCCCUAGCUGGUCUGAGAGGAUGACCAGCCACACUGGAACUGAGACACGGUCCAGACGCCUACGGGAGGCAGCAGUGGGGAAUAUUGCACAAUGGGCGGAAGCCUGAUGCAGCCAUGCCGCGUGUAUGAAGAAGGCCUUCGGGUUGUAAAGUACUUUCAGCGGGGAGGAAGGGAGUAAAGUUAAUACCUUGGCUCAUUGACGUUACCCGCAGAAGAAGCACCGGCUAACUCCGUG
This 490-nucleotide ribosomal RNA is filed under the name uncultured bacterium. Its description in RNAcentral is "partial 16S ribosomal RNA". It matches the Rfam family "Bacterial small subunit ribosomal RNA", at positions 30 to 507 of the family's 1533-position model. The record is from RNAcentral.